CGGGGUGUAGCGCAGUUUGGUAGCGCACAUGGUUUGGGACCAUGGGGCCGGGGGUUCGAGUCCCUCCACCCCGA
Molecule: transfer RNA, 74 nt
Rfam family: tRNA
About the family: Transfer RNA (tRNA) molecules are approximately 80 nucleotides in length. Their secondary structure includes four short double-helical elements and three loops (D, anti-codon, and T loops). Further hydrogen bonds mediate the characteristic L-shaped molecular structure. tRNAs have two regions of fundamental functional importance: the anti-codon, which is responsible for specific mRNA codon recognition, and the 3' end, to which the tRNAs corresponding amino acid is attached (by aminoacyl-tRNA synthetases). tRNAs cope with the degeneracy of the genetic code in two manners: having more than one tRNA (with a specific anti-codon) for a particular amino acid; and 'wobble' base-pairing, i.e. permitting non-standard base-pairing at the 3rd anti-codon position.
Source: Rfam